UCUACUGAACCCCAAAAUCCUCAGUUAGCCUUCACUCCUCCAAGAAAUCAGACCUAAAUGGGAUAGUUUUAUGUUUUUCUUGCAUUUCCGUUUUCGGAUUUUGGUGUAGGUGAUUGUGAGAGUUCCAAUUGUAUGUUUUUUCAAUUUUGGUCUAAUCGGACAGAUCACUUUUACCAUGUAUCCGAACGAGACAAGUCGUUUGCCAUUCAUGAAGGGUACAAAGAGUUCCUCUAAGAAAAUGUCCUCUGAAGAAAGAGCUGCGGACGGAAUAAGGUGCACUUGUCCGCGUGGAAAUUGUUCGGGUUGCGGCUGCUACAAUGGAUGUUCUAGAAAUUGCGGUUGCUCCAACUGCCAGAGGAACCGGCAGCGAAAUGAGAGGAAAACAUAAAACUUUCCAAGUACACAUUUCUAUUUAAAAGAUGGUCAGGGAAGAAAACGUCCCUCAAGGAAUCCUUGCUAACCGGGACUUGCGAAUCGAGUGGAAGUCUCUACUUCUCGUGGCUUUCCAUCGCCAUGGUUCCUUGAGCGCGUGAAAGAAGUCCCAACCGUCGCAAUUUUUGGAAUUUUCCUUCAUUCGGACUUUAGGAUUCAAUAUAAUAUUAUAUUUAUAUUUGUAUUCCUUACUCGGAUUCCAAAUUGUUAGGCCUUAGAAACACACUGAUUUCCAAAUACUUGGAUUCCCAAAGACUCUGAAUCCCAAACACUCGGAUUCCGAAAUACUUGGAUUCCGAAACACUUGGAUUCCCAAUCACUCGGAUUCCCAAACAUUUGGAUUCCCGAAGACUUGGAUUCCCAAAUACACAUUACAUGAUUAACAAUUACAACAUAAUUACAAUUAACACUAUUAUGGAAUUGGCACCAAAUAAAAAACAAUAUAAGUUAA
Drosophila rhopaloa is the source of this 883-nucleotide long non-coding RNA. RefSeq lists it as uncharacterized. The record is from RefSeq and is a predicted model, not a curated record. The transcript has 2 exons. NCBI's taxonomy places the organism in Eukaryota, Metazoa, Arthropoda, Insecta, Diptera, Drosophilidae.